Molecule: long non-coding RNA, 987 nt
Filed under: Mus musculus (house mouse)
Lineage: Eukaryota; Metazoa; Chordata; Mammalia; Rodentia; Muridae
Description: RIKEN cDNA C730002L08 gene
Source: RNAcentral
CAGAACCAUUAUGAAAUGUUAGCUCUGUGGCACCAGAAUCCCCAUACUUCCAGAUUGACGGGAAUUCGGGGCCGAACUUGUUGAGAUUGCAUGAAAGUGACAGAAAAGAAGACUAAGCUUCCUGAUCCAGUUUAGAAAGAAUUGCUGACAAUGUGCCUCCCACCUGUGAAAACAAAACCAAACAAACAAAAAGCCCUGGGAUCACUGCAAAUCCAUCCACAAAAGGCACUCCCACCUUCAAGUGUCAGGUUACUUCUAUUGAAAAGGACUCAGAGAUGUGUACCCGGAAGAGAUCAAGUUCUAACCUGAAACCAACCUUGCGUGGGAGAUUUGUGGCUCCUGACCAAGAGAAGCCAAUACAAGGAGAUGGGCCUGAGCUCCUGAAUAUUCAAAAUAUUAGUUUUUCCUUCCCACACAUUACUCAGGAGACCAAGGACUCCAUGGCCAAAAACAAAACAAAACAAACAAACAAACAAAAAACAAAAGAAACUAUUUGAAACUACUGAGUUUCAUCCCAUUCAGCAAUUAAUCAUGGCUUACCCAGUCCAUUUCCUUCAUCAUUUUUAAUGUCAUGACUCAUCGGGUGGAUGGAUCUGUUUCAGAGGGCCAAUUCCCAGCAGGAUAGCAUCCAGGGCAGACUUCCUGUGCCGUGGCUCUGUUGUCUAGCCUUUUAAGGUAAUCCAUAGCUCCUUGAGAGAUUCAUAGUAUUUGCUCAAGCCUCCCAUAUCCUGUAAAUAUAUUUUUAAUUUUUAGAAGGGGAAAACAAUGCUUAAAUUUGUAACUCUCCUCAGAAGCAGCCAAUAUACCGAAUAUUUGCAUUUAGCUCAAUAAAUAGGUAAAAUGUCUUAACCAUUGAGUCAUUAUAUUAGAUCCUUUGAAAUUUAAAAGGAUAGUAUAAUAACUCAGGCCAUUUCUUUUAUACACUCACAUAUUUAAAUUAUGUAUAAACAGAGUUACAAUCAUAAAAUCAUAUCAAAGCCAAAGAAA